GAUGAAGAACGUAGCGAAAUGCGAUACGUAAUGUGAAUUGCAGAAUUCAGUGAAUCAUCGAAUCUUUUAACGCAUAUUGCGCUCUCUGGUAUUCCGGAGAGCAUGCUUGUUUGAGUAUCAGUAAACACCUCAACUUCCAUAUCUUUUUUGAAAUGGGAGUUGGACUUGAGUGAUCCCAACGCUUUUCCUCACCGAAAAGUGGCGGGUUACUUGAAAUGCAGGUGCAGCUGGACUUUUCUCUGAGCUAUAAGCAUAUCUAUUUAGUCUGCCUAAAAAACAGAUUAUUACCUUUGCUGCAGCUAACAUAAAGGAGAUUAGUUCUUGUGCUGACUGAUGCAGGAUUCACAAAGACGGCUUCGGCCGACUUUGUAAACUCGAUCUCAAAUCAAGUAAGACUACCCGCUGAACUUAAGCAUAUCAAUAAGCGGAGGA
Molecule: unclassified non-coding RNA, 432 nt
Filed under: soil metagenome
Description: partial contains 5.8S ribosomal RNA, internal transcribed spacer 2, and large subunit ribosomal RNA
Rfam family: 5.8S ribosomal RNA (bases 1-120)
Source: RNAcentral